This is a long non-coding RNA of Gallus gallus (chicken), 3262 nucleotides long. NCBI's taxonomy places the organism in Eukaryota, Metazoa, Chordata, Aves, Galliformes, Phasianidae. The record is from Ensembl.
ACUACAUCCUAAAUGCAACCAGUGCUCUCUACAGGAACACUCUGAAGAAAUAACACUUCCCCAGGAGAUGGAGCAAGAAGAUAGUGUGUUGCAGAUGUCUUUUAGAACAGAGGCUGACACAGACAAGGAGAGAAAAAUUAAAUAGGGUAGCUUCACAGCAAGACGCUGGGCUUUGGGACCAGUGGAGCACAAAGUUGGACCCAGAGGAUGUGUGCAUGAUGCGGGACCAGGUGCAAUAGUGCAUCAGCAAGAACAGCUUCCUGAAUGACUACAGCGGCUGAGUGACAGCAUUAAAACAGCAUUAAAACACAACUACAGAGGUGGCAGGAGAAGGGGAGCCCCUGUCCCUGUUCCACAGCCCAUCUCCGGUAGCGUCUGCCUGUCUGAAAGCUGAGUGCACCUGGAUCAGGACCUGCUCUCCAUCAGUCUUGGCGCCCUGGUGUCAGCAAUGCUAGGUACCCCAGCAAAGCUGGACACUUCUGUGAUCACGAAUAGCAUCUGCAGAGUUAAUGCAGAGUCCCAGUGAGCUAUGUGGACGCGCAGCUGCCUUGGUCACCCUAAAGAGCCAUCCCUCAUCUCACCCUCCCCAGUGCUAUCCCAUCAAUUUCUUCUUCCCUUUUUUUUUUUAUUGUGGGGCUUAUACAAGGUAGGAGUUACUCACAUCACAACAAUAUGGCAGUUUACGUCUGUUGAUGGAAUUCAACUAUAGCCAUGGGAAACGAGCUUUUGAAAGUCAUAAACUAAGAGUGCUGGCUCAGGCUGACUCCCAGUGUCUGAAUCUUGCUAAAGUGCAGCCAAAUUGUGCCGCUGAUUUGGUUCAGCAGUCCUUGAUCUAUUUUGAUCCGUCUCGAUAGCUUUCAUAAGCACAGGUUGGGAAAACUGAUGAGGAAAAAAUAAAAAAGCUUUAGCUCAAAGUAAGCAGCAAGAUGCAGUGCUCUGAGAGCUGGCAAACCUCUGUGCUUUGUGCACCUUCCAGAUGAAUGUAUAAUUGCAAAGGAAGAAUGUUUUUGGAGAUAGGUGUUGCCAGCUGAAACAGAAAACAUGUUUCUGUAAACAGCAGUUGUUACAUUUGAUUUUUUUUUUUUCACAGAAUUAAAGCUGAUGUUCUUUUCUUUAACAGUCCCUUAUGUUUCUGCCUGGUCACCCUUGUGUCUUUUUUCCAUAUUACCUGUUGCCAUAAUAUCCAAGUAACGAUGCCAACACGAUCUGAGAUGAGUGAAACUGCACGUUGCCGUGUGUUUGCCUUUAACUUGGACAAAGAAAAUAUGAGAGAAAGCUGCACCAGAUGUCUGCAACUAGCAGGGCUGAGAACUGUGCUUGGGUGAGGGUAUUCAUGUACACGGCUUCAAGUCUGUCCCAAAGCCUCCUCCAUUAGCACUUGGGCUCCCUGCCUAUUCGCUGGAGAGAGGUGCCCAGUUCAGAGCAUGCCUGAGCUGGCAGUCUUCUUGGUCCUCAGCAUAUAUGGAACAUGAGCGUAAGUGUUAAUUGAUCAGCCUUCUUUCCUCAGCAAAAGUUUGUGUAUGAGUGCACGUAUAUUGCCUUGUUUUUUUAAUCUUACUAGAACUUUUUGGGUUGAAGAAGAAAAAGAAGUGCACUUUCAGAAUUUCACUGUUUUCUGAACGCUUAAUCUUGUUGUCCAUGUGGAUGUUCUGCCUUGGAGAUGACCCAUAUGCCUUAAAAUACUUUCCUCUCAGAGCAAAGACAGGUAGAGGAGUGAGGGUUGUUAUUAUGGCCCCUGGGAACACCAAGAGUGGACUUUUUGAAGAACUUUCCCUCCUUUUGUUACCUGUAGUUGUGAUCUGAGAAAUCUCUCCCAAAAAGUGAAAAGCCAAAUAUGAGCACAUGUUUUCUACUUCUAGAUACUGUGUUGAACUGCGGCCUCAGGUGCCAGUAAAAUAACUGUCCUUUCUUGUCCAUGUUAGGAACAGUUUUGGGACUCUAUUAGAUGAAGUGCUAUAGUAUUGUGCUUACAACUGCUUACAUAUUGAAUGGUUCUGCUGGAGAGCAGUACAUGGCCAAGAACAAUAAAUUUCAAAAUGACUAUGCUGUCUAUGAAGACCUUUAAGAGAAGCUAAUUCCUUUGCCUCUUUCAUGGUAAAUACACCUGAGCUGCAAGGCAGAAAAAACUUUAUGUCCUUUCAUCUUGGUAGUGUUGGAGUGCUUGAGCCGGCCUGCUCCCUUCGGUCCCUUCAUCCUUUUUCUAAUAGCUUGUGCUUUUGUAUUUGGGAAUGAAGAAAGCCGCAGCAUUCUGGGCUGAGCUGCAAGGAAAUACUCCAACUUAUUGCUCAGAGGUAGCUGGCGGGGAAGAUGCCAUCUCUGUUGCUUUUGAGGCUUCCUCUUUUGAAUCAUAGAAUCAUAGAAUUGUUUGAGAUGGAAGGGACCCUUAAAGGCCAUCUAGUCCAACUCCCCUGCAAUGAACAGGAACACCUACAGCAGAUCAGAUUGCUCAGAGCCCCGUCCAGCCUGACCUUGAGUGUCUCCAGGGACAGGGCAUCCACCACCUCUCUGGGCAACCUGUUCCAGUGUCUCACCACACUAAUCAUAAAAAACUUCUUCCUUACAUCCAGUCUGAAUCUCCCUUCUUUUAAUUAUGAAACCAUUUCCCCUUAUUGUAUCACAGCAGACCCUGCUGAAGUGUCUGUCCCCUUCUUUCUUACAGUCCCCCUUUAGAUACUGAAAGGUCUCUAUCAGGCCUCCAUGGAGCCUUCUCUUGCCCAGACUGAACAGCCCCAGCUCUCUCAGCCUGUCCUUGCAGGGAGGUGUUCCAUCCCUGGGAUCCUCCUCUGGGCAUGCUCCAACAGGCCUGUGUCUCUCCUGUGUUGAGGACUCCACAUCUGGACGCAGUACUCCAGGGAAAGUCUUACCAGUGCAGAGGGGCAGGAUCACCUCCCUAGACCUGCCAGCCACACUUCUUUAGAUGUAACCCAGAGACUUCCCCUGACUGCCACGACUUCAAAUGUCACUGAAAGUGGCUUGGUGACUACAUCAGUCAGUUCCCUCAGGACUCUGGGAUGCAUGUCAUUGAGAUUUAUGGGUGUUCAGGUUCCUCACGCGAUUGUGAACCUGAUUUUUGCUUGCUUACAGCUGGAGGGGCACUGUUCCCACAGCCCCCACACAGGAGCCUGAGAUCAGUGCGUGGGUGUUAGUGAGCCUGGCCAGAGGAAAAAGGACAAGGCUUUAGCCUGCAGAUGUAGAAACGACUUCUCCAGGCUGCUACACUGUCGGCUGUAUCAGUGUUGAUCCUACAGAGCUCAGAAGAAAG